UGCAGUCGACGGAAGGNCCUUCGGGGUACUCGAGUGGCGAACGGGUGAGUAACACGUGGGUGAUCUGCCCUGCACUUUGGGAUAAGCCUGGGAAACUGGGUCUAAUACCGAAUAGGACCACGCGCUUCAUGGUGUGUGGUGGAAAGCUUUUGCGGUGUGGGAUGGGCCCGCGGCCUAUCAGCUUGUUGGUGGGGUAAUGGCCUACCAAGGCGACGACGGGUAGCCGGCCUGAGAGGGUGACCGGCCACACUGGGACUGAGAUACGGCCCAGACUCCUACGGGAGGCAGCAGUGGGGAAUAUUGCACAAUGGGCGCAAGCCUGAUGCAGCGACGCCGCGUGAGGGAUGACGGCCUUCGGGUUGUAAACCUCUUUCAAUAGGGACGAAGCGCAAGUGACGGUACCUAUAGAAGAAGCACCGGCCAACUACGUGCCAGCAGCCGCGGUAAUACGUAGGGUGCGAGCGUUGUCCGGAAUUACUGGGCGUAAAGAGCUCGUAGGUGGUUUGUCGCGUUGUUCGUGAAAACUCACAGCUUAACUGUGGGCGUGCGGGCGAUACGGGCAGACUAGAGUACUGCAGGGGAGACUGGAAUUCCUGGUGUAGCGGUGGAAUGCGCAGAUAUCAGGAGGAACACCGGUGGCGAAGGCGGGUCUCUGGGCAGUAACUGACGCUGANGAGCGAAAGCGUGGGGAGCGAACAGGAUUAGAUACCCUGGUAGUCCACGCCGUAAACGGUGGGUACUAGGUGUGGGUUCCUUCCUUGGGAUCCGUGCCGUANCUAACGCAUUAAGUACCCCGCCUGGGGAGUACGGCCGCAAGGCUAAAACUCAAAGGAAUUGACGGGGGCCCGCACAAGCGGCGGANCAUGUGGAUUAAUUCGAUGCAACGCGAAGAACCUUACCUGGGUUUGACAUGCACAGGACGCCGGCANANAUGUCGGUUCCCUUGUGGCCUGUGUGCNNGUGGUGCAUGGCUGUCGUCAGCUCGNGUCNUGANAUGUUGGGUUAAGUCCCGCAAC
This 1016-nucleotide ribosomal RNA is filed under the name Mycolicibacterium mucogenicum. Its description in RNAcentral is "bacterial SSU rRNA". It matches the Rfam family "Bacterial small subunit ribosomal RNA", at positions 56 to 1093 of the family's 1533-position model. Lineage: Bacteria; Bacillati; Actinomycetota; Actinomycetes; Mycobacteriales; Mycobacteriaceae. The record is from RNAcentral.